AUGCUGGGUUGGCAGAAGGGACUCAUUACUAGAGCUGGGCGGCUGGUUCUUGUUCACGAUGUGGUCAUGGCGCGGCCGACCCACCACUUAAUCAUCGUGGACGCCCCAAAAUGGGCAAUUGAGCAAAGAGUGUGCCGACCCAAGGAGCUUGGUGGACUCGGGCUGCUGGACCUAAAACGUCAGGGCUUGGCCUUAAGAUUGCGGUGGGAGUGCUUGCGGCGCACUGACAGGAGUCGCCCAUGGCUUGGACUUCAAGCUGCCUUCGACACGAAAUUGGACGGGCCCGGGCCCGGCCCGGCCUGGGCUUCGGGCUCAAAACCUAGGCCUGAGCCCGGCCCAUGGACAAGGUCGGGCCGGGCUGGGUUGGGCUUUUUCGGGCAGGGUCGGGUCGGGCCGACCGGGCCGGGCUGCCCAUGGCCAGGUAUGCUUACAAGCAAGAUCUUCCUGUGGCUGGCAAUCCAAUUCAGGAUAUGGACCUCCGAUCGACGUCUCAGACAUGGGAUCCAAGACGCCACCUCCUCCUGCUACUUUUGUGAUCAGGAUGAAGAUACAGUCGACCACCUCCUUGUCCAGUGUGUCAUCUCACGACAAGUAUGGCACAUGGCGUUGUCCAGGACGAGACUUGGACCUAGCUUAACUCCUACGGGCUACAGCUGA
RNAcentral lists this ribosomal RNA (657 nucleotides) under Triticum aestivum (bread wheat). Its description in RNAcentral is "partial small subunit ribosomal RNA". The record is from RNAcentral. Lineage: Eukaryota; Viridiplantae; Streptophyta; Magnoliopsida; Poales; Poaceae.